This 254-nucleotide ribosomal RNA is filed under the name uncultured bacterium. Its description in RNAcentral is "partial 16S ribosomal RNA". It matches the Rfam family "Bacterial small subunit ribosomal RNA", at positions 524 to 776 of the family's 1533-position model. The record is from RNAcentral.
UACGAAGGGGGCUAGCGUUGUUCGGAAUUACUGGGCGUAAAGGGCGCGUAGGCGGUCGUGACAAGUCACUUGUGAAAUCUCCGGGCUUAACUCGGAACGGUCAAGUGAUACUGUCGGACUAGAGUACAGAAGGGGCAACUGGAAUUCUCGGUGUAGCGGUGAAAUGCGUAGAUAUCGAGAGGAACACCUGCGGCGAAGGCGGGUUGCUGGGCUGAUACUGACGCUGAGGCGCGAAAGCAUGGGGAGCGAACAGG